This 505-nucleotide ribosomal RNA is filed under the name uncultured bacterium. RNAcentral's name for it is "partial 16S ribosomal RNA". It matches the Rfam family "Bacterial small subunit ribosomal RNA", at positions 28 to 507 of the family's 1533-position model. The record is from RNAcentral.
GACGAACGCUGGCGGCGUGCCUAAUACAUGCAAGUCGAACGCACAGUUUAUACCGUAGCUUGCUACACCAUAGACUGUGAGUUGCGAACGGGGGAGUAACGCUUAGGUAACCUGCCUGGUAGCGGGGGAUAACUAUGGGUAACGAUAGCUAGUACCUCAUACUAUUGAUUAUUGCAUGGUAAUUAAUUGAAAGUUGCAAUUGACCCGCUACCUAUUGGCCCUGCGUUGUAUUAGUUAGUAGGUGAGGUAAUGGCGCAUCUAGGCGAGGAUACGUAGCCGACAGGCGAGGAUGAUCAGCCACACUGGGAGUGUGACACGGCCCAGAGGCCUUCGGGAGGCAGCAGUAGGGAAACUUGGGGAAUGGGCGAAAGUUUGACCGAGAAACGCGGCGUGAGUGAAGAAGGUUUUCGGGUGGUAAAGGUCUGUUGUAAGGGAAGAAAGGGUGUGAGAGUGGAAAGAUCACAGUGUGACGGUAUCUUAUCAGGAAGGGACGGCUAACUACGUG